Molecule: ribosomal RNA, 200 nt
Filed under: uncultured bacterium
Lineage: Bacteria
Description: partial 16S ribosomal RNA
Rfam family: Bacterial small subunit ribosomal RNA
Source: RNAcentral
AUUGAACGCUGGCGGCAUGCUUUACACAUGCAAGUCGAACGGCAGCGCGGGGGCAACCCUGGCGGCGAGUGGCGAACGGGUGAGUAAUACAUCGGAACGUGCCCAGUUGUGGGGGAUAGCCCGGCGAAAGCCGGAUUAAUACCGCAGUACGACCUACGGGUGAAAGCGGGGGAUCGCAAGACCUCGCGCAAUUGGAGCGG